GAUGAACGCUAGCUACAGGCUUAACACAUGCAAGUCGAGGGGAAACGACAUCGAAAGCUUGCUUUUGAUGGGCGUCGACCGGCGCACGGGUGAGUAACGCGUAUCCAACCUGCCCAUCACUUGGGAAUAACCUUGCGAAAGUAAGACUAAUACCCAAUGAUAUCCCACGAAGGCAUCGGAAUGGGAUUAAAGAUUUAUCGGUGAUGGAUGGGGAUGCGUCUGAUUAGCUUGUUGGCGGGGUAACGGCCCACCAAGGCAACGAUCAGUAGGGGUUCUGAGAGGAAGGUCCCCCACAUUGGAACUGCGACACGGUCCAAACUCCUACGGGAGGCAGCAGUGAGGAAUAUUGGUCAAUGGGCGAGAGCCUGAACCAGCCAAGUAGCGUGCAGGAAGACGGCCCUAUGGGUUGUAAACUGCUUUUAUAAGGGAAUAAAGUGGGUCACGUGUGACUUUUUGCAUGUACCUUAUGAAUAAGGACCGGCUAAUUCCGUG
Molecule: ribosomal RNA, 492 nt
Filed under: uncultured bacterium
Lineage: Bacteria
Description: partial 16S ribosomal RNA
Rfam family: Bacterial small subunit ribosomal RNA
Source: RNAcentral